UACGGAGGGUGCGAGCGUUGUCCGGAAUCACUGGGCGUAAAGGGCGCGUAGGCGGCAUGCCAAGCGUGUGGUGAAAGCCCGGGGCUCAACCCCGGGUCGGCCGUGCGGACUGGCGUGCUCGAGCACUGUAGGGGCGGGUGGAAUUCCGGGUGUAGCGGUGGAAUGCGUAGAGAUCCGGAAGAACACCGGUGGCGAAGGCGGCCCGCUGGGCAGGAAGGCUCGCAAGAGCCGGCUGACGCUGAGGCGCGGACAGCGUGGGGAGCAAACAGG
RNAcentral lists this ribosomal RNA (270 nucleotides) under uncultured bacterium. RNAcentral's name for it is "partial 16S ribosomal RNA". It matches the Rfam family "Bacterial small subunit ribosomal RNA", at positions 524 to 776 of the family's 1533-position model. The record is from RNAcentral.